UACGAAGGGUGCAAGCGUUACUCGGAAUUACUGGGCGUAAAGCGUGCGUAGGUGGUGAGUUAAGUCUGAUGUGAAAUCCCCGGGCUCAACCUGGGAAUGGCAUUGGAUACUGGCUCGCUAGAGUGCGGUAGAGGGUGGUGGAAUUCCCGGUGUAGCAGUGAAAUGCGUAGAGAUCGGGAGGAACACCUGUGGCGAAGGCGGCCCCCUGGGCCGGCCCUGACACUGAGACGCGAAGGCGUGGGGAGCGAACGGG
RNAcentral lists this ribosomal RNA (253 nucleotides) under uncultured bacterium. RNAcentral's name for it is "partial 16S ribosomal RNA". It matches the Rfam family "Bacterial small subunit ribosomal RNA", at positions 524 to 776 of the family's 1533-position model. The record is from RNAcentral.